UUCUUCUAUUCUCUCCGCCGCAACCAACGCCUCCAUCCACCUUCUUUCUUCUUCUUCUCUCCACUGCACAACCUCACCACCGGACACAGCCGCACACCCGCGCCGCCGUAUAGCCUCACCGCCGCACCUUCUCCAUUGUAACAAAUGUUUAGGGUUUAUGCCCCGCGACCGAUCUUUGCGCCUCUGCCUUGCCACGACGCCACCGCCCACCACUGCCACCAGCUUCACCCUCAACCCGCCUCAGUCGCCGGUCGUGAGCCUCCUUCGUUUUCACCAGUCACCACUGUCCAGUCGCCUCCUUGCCUCAAUCGAGACAAAAAUGAUCUCCCCCAAACUAUGGACAGCUAGCGCCUCCAGGAAAAAUCUCCCUACUUUUGAUCUUUAGGAAAGAGCCAUUCUUCUAUGGCUAUGACAACCAUGAUCAACUUGUUAAAAUUGCGAAGGUUCUUGGCACAGAUGAGUUGAAUGCAUAUCUCAACAAAUAUCAUCUGGAGCUUGAUCCUCAACAUGAUGCUCUGGUUGGAAGGCAAUUGAUUUCCUUGAUAAGCUCCUUCGUUAUGAUCAUCAAGACAGGCAGGCUUACAGCUAAAGAAGCUAUGGCACAUCCAUACUCCUUUCAAGUGAGGGCAGCUGAAAACAGCAGGGUGCGUACAGAGUAGUGAUGGCCCCCUCUAUAUAUAGGCAUCAUGAUUAUUUGUAAUGGAGUUGUAAAGGCGUAUGUGUACAUUGCUGUCACAAUGUCUUGAUCACAAUUGGAACAGCUUUUAUGUAGUGAUAAAACUGCAUGGCUCAUUUAUUUCCCACUAUGAACAACUUGGCAAGAAGAUGAAUGGUUUUGCUAAGGAGGAGAAAGGGCUUUACUACUUGAUCAAUCCACCAACGAAGAAAACUAGUGUUUUUUAUGACUUUGUGCACUGUAAUAAUGUCAGUAUACAUACUUGGCAUAAUAGACUAGGACAUUUUCCUGUUAAUAAAAUGCAUCUGUUGGAUGGUGUUCAAUGUUCGAGAAUAAAGAUGAAUUGAUUUGUGAUGCA
Molecule: RNA transcript, 1034 nt
Organism: Ipomoea triloba (trilobed morning glory)
Lineage: Eukaryota; Viridiplantae; Streptophyta; Magnoliopsida; Solanales; Convolvulaceae
Gene name: casein kinase II subunit alpha-2-like
Exons: 7
Source: RefSeq, a predicted model, not a curated record